GAUGGGGUGACGCAGGAGGCUAGUCGGACCCGCGCGUUGGAGUUGACGCGGGCCAAGCCAGUAGGCGGAGGGGAUAGGCAAAUCCGUUCCCUCGUCAACGCCGAGAGGUGAUGGGGAGGCCGCAAGGCCGGAAGUCGACGAUGCCACGCUGCCGAGAAAAACCUCGUUUCGGAGUUCGGAGGGCGUCCGUACCGUAAACCGACACAGGUAGUCAAGGAGAGAAUCCUCAGGCGCUCGAGUGAAGCGUUGCGAAGGAACUCGGCAAAUUAACACCGUAACUUCGGAAGAAGGUGUGCUUGCGGUCGUGUAGGGGCUUGCCCCCGAGGCGAACGCGAGUUGCAAUAACCAGGCCCAGGCGACUGUUUAGCAAAAACACAGGACUCUGCAAAGUCGAAAACGACGUAUAGGGUCUGACGCCUGCCCGGUGCUGGAAGGUUAAGGAGAGGGGUCAGCGCAAGCAAAGCUCUGAACCGAAGCCCCAGUAAACGGCGGCCGUAACUAUAACGGUCCUAAGGUAGCGAAAUUCCUUGUCGGGUAAGUUCCGACCUGCAUGAAUGGCGUAACGAUCUGGGCACUGUCUCCGCAACGCGCUCGGCGAAUCUGUACUCCCGGUGAAGAUGCCGGGUACCCGCACGUAGACGGAAAGACCCUGUGCACCUUUACUACACCCUGGCCCUGAACUUUGGUGCUGUCUGCGCAGGAUAGGUGGGACGCUUUGAACCUGGGGUUUCGGCCUCGGGGGAGCGGACGGUGAGAUACCACCCUGACGACACUGGAGUUCUAACCUAGGCCCGUCAUCCGGGCCGGAGACACGGUCAGGCGGGUAGUUUGACUGGGGCGGUCGCCUCCUAAAAUGUAACGGAGGCGCUCAAAGGUAUGCUUAGGCGGAUUGGAAACCCGCCGUCAAGUGUAAAGGCAGAAGCAUGCUUAACUGCGAGACGGACAGGUCAAGCAGGUGGGAAACCAGGACUUAGUGAUCCGGUGGUUCUGUAUGGAAGGGCCAUCGCUCAACGGAUAAAAGGUACGCCGGGGAUAACAGGCUGAUCUUGCCCAAGAGUUCACAUCGACGGCAAGGUUUGGCACCUCGAUGUCGGCUCAUCGCAUCCUGGGGCUGAAGCAGGUCCCAA
RNAcentral lists this ribosomal RNA (1127 nucleotides) under activated sludge metagenome. RNAcentral describes it as "bacterial LSU rRNA". It matches the Rfam family "Bacterial large subunit ribosomal RNA", at positions 1463 to 2568 of the family's 2925-position model. The record is from RNAcentral.